This 496-nucleotide ribosomal RNA is filed under the name uncultured bacterium. Its description in RNAcentral is "partial 16S ribosomal RNA". It matches the Rfam family "Bacterial small subunit ribosomal RNA", at positions 29 to 507 of the family's 1533-position model. The record is from RNAcentral.
AUGCACGCUGGCGGCGUGCCUAAUACAUGCAAGUCGAGCGAACAGACGAGGAGCUUGCUCCUCUGACGUUAGCGGCGGACGGGUGAGUAACACGUGGAUAACCUACCUAUAAGACUGGGAUAACUUCGGGAAACCGGAGCUAAUACCGGAUAAUAUAUUGAACCGCAUGGUUCAAUAGUGAAAGACGGUUUUGCUGUCACUUAUAGAUGGAUCCGCGCCGCAUUAGCAAGUUGGUAAGGUAACGGCUUACCAAGGCAACGAUGCGUAGCCGACCUGAGAGGGUGAUCGGCCACACUGGAACUGAGACACGGUCCAGACUCCUACGGGAGGCAGCAGUAGGGAAUCUUCCGCAAUGGGCGAAAGCCUGACGGAGCAACGCCGCGUGAGUGAUGAAGGUCUUCGGAUCGUAAAACUCUGUUAUUAGGGAAGAACAAAUGUGUAAGUAACUAUGCACGUCUUGACGGUACCUAAUCAGAAAGCCACGGCUAACUACGUG